CCUACGGGAGACUGCAGUGGGGAAUAUUGGGCAAUGGGCGGAACCCUGACCCAGCAACGCCGCGUGAGUGAAGAAGGCUUUCGGUUUGUAAACUUCUUUUAUCAGGGAAGAAGCAAGUGACGGUACCUGACGAAUCAGCCACUACUAACUUCGUGGCAGCAGCCGCGGUACUACGUGGGUUGCAAGCGUUCUCCGGAUUUCGUGGGUGGAAAGGCAGUGUAGGCGGGACUGCAAGUCAGAUGUGAAACCUAGGGGCCCAACCCAUAGCCUGCAUUUGAAACUGUAGUUCUGGAGUACUGGAGAGGCAAUCGGAAUUCCGUGUGUAGCGGUGAAAUGCGUAGAUAUAAGGAGGAACACCAGUGGCGAAGGCGGAUUGCUGGACAGUAACUGACGCUGAGGCGCGAAAGCGUGGGGAGCAAACAGGAUUAGAUACCCGAGUAGUC
This 443-nucleotide ribosomal RNA is filed under the name uncultured bacterium. RNAcentral's name for it is "partial 16S ribosomal RNA". It matches the Rfam family "Bacterial small subunit ribosomal RNA", at positions 338 to 795 of the family's 1533-position model. The record is from RNAcentral.